This 1339-nucleotide ribosomal RNA is filed under the name uncultured prokaryote. Its description in RNAcentral is "partial 16S ribosomal RNA". It matches the Rfam family "Archaeal small subunit ribosomal RNA". The record is from RNAcentral.
UCCCGUUGAUCCUGCGGGAGGUCGCUGCUAUCAGAGUUCGACUUAGCUAAGCUAGUCAUGGGGUCGCAAGACACCGGCAAACAGUUCCGUAACACGUCGAUAAUCUGCCCUUAGGUCAAGGAUAAUCUCGGGAAACUGAGGAUAAUACUUGAUAUGAGAUAAAAUCUGGAAUGAUUUAUCUUUGAAAGACUACGCCUAAGGAUGAGUCGGCGGUGGAUUAGGUUGUAGGUGAGGUAAUGGCUCACCUAGCCCGAGAUCCAUACGGGCCGUGAGAGCGGUAGCCCGGAGAAGGACACUGAGACACUGGUCCUAGCCCUACGGGGUGCAGCAGGCGCGAAACCUUUACAAUGCACGAAAGUGUGAUAAGGGAAUCCUGAGUGCUCAAGUUUUACUUGGGCUUUUGCCAAGGGUAAAUACCUUGGAGAAUAAGUGGUGGGCAAGACUGGUGCCAGCAGCCGCGGUAACACCAGCGCCACAAGUGGGGACCUCGUUUAUUGGGCCUAAAGCGUUCGUAGCUGGAUUUGUAAAUCUUUUGUGAAAUCGUCAAGCUCAACUUGACGGCAUGCAGGAGACACUGCAUUUCUUGAGAUCGGGAGGGGUUAGGAGUAUUCCAGGGGAACCGGUAAAAUGGGAUAAUCCUUGGAAGACUACCUGUGGCGAAGGCGCCUAACCAGAACGAGUCUGACAGUGAGGGACGAAGGCUAGGGGAGCGAACCGGAUUAGAUACCCGAGUAGUCCUAGCAGUAAACGCUGCGAGCCAGGUGUUGCACAUUCUACAUGAAUGUGCAGUGUCGUAAUGAAGAUGUUAAGCUCGCCGCCUGGGAAGUAUGGUCGCAAGACUGAAACUUAAAGGAAUUGGCGGGGGAGCACCACAAGGGGUGCGGCGUGCGGUUUAAUCUAACUCAACGCAGAGAAUCUCACCAGGGGCGACGGCAGGAUGAAGGUCAGUCUGAAGGGCUUACCCGACGAGCCGAGAGGUGGUGCAUGGUCGCCGUCAGCUCGUGCCGUAAGGUGUCCUGUUAAGUCAGGUAACGAGCGAGACCUAUACCUACAAUUGCUAGCGACUUUUCUGAUCGGGCACAUUGUAGGGACUGCUUUGGAAACAAAGAGGAAGGUGCAGGCAACGGUAGGUCUGUAUGCCCCGAAUCCCUUGGGCUACACGCGCGCAACAAUGGUAUGGACAAUGGGAUGCAACUCUGAAAAGAGAAGCUAAACCUCUAAACCAUAUCUUAGUCCAGAUUGUGGUUUGUAACUCAGCCACGUGACGAUGGAAUCCCUAGUAAUCAGGUGUUACUAUGACCUGGUGAAUAUGUCCCUGCUCCUUGCACUCACCGCCCGU